This 84-nucleotide non-coding RNA is filed under the name Bacillus sp. (in: firmicutes). Its description in RNAcentral is "Bacillus sp. ZTP sequence". It matches the Rfam family "ZMP/ZTP riboswitch aptamer (pfl RNA motif)". From Rfam's summary of the family: Previously known as pfl RNA. Lineage: Bacteria; Bacillati; Bacillota; Bacilli; Caryophanales; Bacillaceae. RNAcentral also lists the same sequence under 1 other name. The record is from RNAcentral.
GGAAAAUGCAGUGACUGACGACAACCGUGGAAUUAACCACAUGGGAGCUGCAUUUUAUACGGUCGGGUCGUCUGGGCAGAGAUA